Molecule: ribosomal RNA, 510 nt
Filed under: uncultured bacterium
Lineage: Bacteria
Description: partial 16S ribosomal RNA
Rfam family: Bacterial small subunit ribosomal RNA
Source: RNAcentral
GACGAACGCUGGCGGCGUGCUUAACACAUGCAAGUCGAACGAAGAGCGAUGGAAGCUUGCUUCUAUCAAUCUUAGUGGCGCACGGGUGAGUAACGCGUAAUCAACCUGCCCUUCAGAGGGGGACAACAGUUGGAAACGACUGCUAAUACCGCAUACGAUCUAAUCUCGGCAUCGAGGAUAGAUGAAAGGUGGCCUCUACAUGUAAGCUAUCACUGAAGGAGGGGAUUGCGUCUGAGUAGCUAGUUGGAGUGGUAACGGGCCACCAAGGCGAUGAUCAGUAGCCGGUCUGAGAGGAUGAACGGCCACAUUGGGACUGAGACACGGCCCAGACUCCUACGGGAGGCAGCAGUGGGGAAUCUUCCGCAAUGGACGAAAGGCUGACGGAGCAACGCCGCGUGAGCGAUGACGGCCUUCGGGUUGUAAAGCUCUGUUAAUCGGGACGAAAGGCCUUCUUGCGAAUAGUGAGAAGGAUUGACGGUACCGGAAUAGAAAGCCACGGCUAACUACGUG